AUUGAACGCUGGCGGCAGGCCUAACACAUGCAAGUCGAGCGGAGGAAGGGAGCUUGCUCCUGGAUUCAGCGGCGGACGGGUGAGUAAUGCCUAGGAAUCUGCCUGGUAGUGGGGGAUAACGUCCGGAAACGGGCGCUAAUACCGCAUACGUCCUGAGCGAGAAAGUGGGGGAUUUUCGGACCUCACGCUAUCAGAUGAGCCUAGGUCGGAUUAGCUAGUUGGUGGGGUAAAGGCCUACCAAGGCGACGAUCCGUAACUGGUCUGAGAGGAUGAUCAGUCACACUGGAACUGAGACACGGUCCAGACUCCUACGGGAGGCAGCAGUGGGGAAUAUUGGACAAUGGGCGAAAGCCUGAUCCAGCCAUGCCGCGUGUGUGAAGAAGGUCUUCGGAUUGUAAAGCACUUUAAGUUGGGAGGAAGGGCAGUAAGUUAAUACCUUGCUGUUUUGACGUUACCAACAGAAUAAGCACCGGCUAACUUCGUG
This 484-nucleotide ribosomal RNA is filed under the name uncultured bacterium. Its description in RNAcentral is "partial 16S ribosomal RNA". It matches the Rfam family "Bacterial small subunit ribosomal RNA", at positions 30 to 507 of the family's 1533-position model. The record is from RNAcentral.